GACGAACGCUGGCGGCGUGCUUAACACAUGCAAGUCGAACGGAAAGGCCCUGCAUUUGUGGGGUGCUCGAGUGGCGAACGGGUGAGUAACACGUGAGUAACCUGCCCUUGACUUUGGGAUAACUUCAGGAAACUGGGGCUAAUACCGGAUAGGAGCUCCUGCUGCAUGGUGGGGGUUGGAAAGUUUCGGCGGUGGGGGAUGGACUCGCGGCUUAUCAGCUUGUUGGUGGGGUAGUGGCUUACCAAGGCUUUGACGGGUAGCCGGCCUGAGAGGGUGACCGGCCACAUUGGGACUGAGAUACGGCCCAGACUCCUACGGGAGGCAGCAGUGGGGAAUAUUGCACACUGGGCGGAAGCCUGAUGCAGCAACGCCGCGUGCGGGAUGACGGCCUUCGGGUUGUAAACCGCUUUCGCCUGUGACGAAGCGUGAGUGACGGUAAUGGGUAAAGAAGCACCGGCUAACUACGUG
RNAcentral lists this ribosomal RNA (468 nucleotides) under uncultured bacterium. RNAcentral's name for it is "partial 16S ribosomal RNA". It matches the Rfam family "Bacterial small subunit ribosomal RNA", at positions 28 to 507 of the family's 1533-position model. The record is from RNAcentral.